This is a non-coding RNA of Pelobates cultripes (western spadefoot toad), 662 nucleotides long. Lineage: Eukaryota; Metazoa; Chordata; Amphibia; Anura; Pelobatidae. The record is from the annotation of a GenBank genome assembly.
CGGCAUCACUCUGCGGCGCGCGAGGGGGCUGAGCAGAGAGCUCACUAUUCAGUGCUCCCUUGCCAGCGCCGGCCUCCCGCCCAACAGCCCCACUGGACCCCAGGGAAAGGGAGAACCCCUGCCCCCCAGCAUUCCCAAAGGUAAGGAGGCUGGGGGGAUUAAAUUUUUUUUUUUUUUUUAAAGUGAGUGUGUUAAUGUGAGUGUGUGUCUGUUAGUGAGUAUGUGUGUCUGUUUGUGUGUUUCUGUUAGUGAGUAUGUGUGUCAGGGAGUGUGUCUGUUAGGGAGUGUUACUAUGUGUGUAUCUGUUAGUGAGAGUGUUUAAUAUGUCGUAUGUUGUUGUUCAUCUCAGGUUGUAUUUACCAGAUUUUAAGACCUGCUUAGGAACAGAUGAUUGUUAUUAUGUAUCUAGAAUUCUAAGAGGGUGUGCUUUCUUUUUCCAAUGACCAUACAAUGGAAGCAAACUGACAAUUCAGGAUUCUUGAAAAUUGUUACUGAGUUGCCUUCUGAUGUGUAACCAGCAGAUGGCACAGGAACUCAAUAUUCAUAUAUUCUAGCCCGUAUGUCACCCUCCCUCCAUUUUUCUUAUAUCUGCAUUAAAAGAAAGAACUGGGUUUGUGUCACUAGAGUGGCUGUGAUUUGAGCCUAUCCUAAUUGGAUCUUUC